CGUGUAGGCGGUCAGGUAAGUGGAAUGUGAAAUGCCCCGGCUCACCCGGGGACCGGCAUCCCAAACUGCCUGGCUUGAGUAUGGGAGAGGAUGGAGGAAUUCCUGGUGUAGCGGUGAAAUGCGUAGAUAUCAGGAGGAACACCGGUGGCGAAAGCGGCUUCCUGGCCCAUUUCUGACGCUCAGACGCGAAAGCUAGGGUAGCAAACG
This 207-nucleotide ribosomal RNA is filed under the name uncultured bacterium. Its description in RNAcentral is "partial 16S ribosomal RNA". It matches the Rfam family "Bacterial small subunit ribosomal RNA", at positions 568 to 774 of the family's 1533-position model. The record is from RNAcentral.